RNAcentral lists this ribosomal RNA (454 nucleotides) under Nothophaeocryptopus gaeumannii. Its description in RNAcentral is "SSU rRNA". It matches the Rfam family "Bacterial small subunit ribosomal RNA", at positions 15 to 457 of the family's 1533-position model. The record is from RNAcentral. Lineage: Eukaryota; Fungi; Ascomycota; Dothideomycetes; Mycosphaerellales; Mycosphaerellaceae.
GAUGAUGGCUCUGAUUGAACGCUGUCCAAAGGCUUGACACAUGCUAAUCAUACAUAAUUUUAUAUAAAAACCGAUAAUUUUUAUUAUAUCCUAAUAGAAAUAUAUUAUUUUUAGAAUUAUAAAAUUAUCGUGGUGUAAAGGUGAGUAUACAAUGCUUUUUUGCCUUAAAGAAAGGAAAAAUAAAUUCCUUAUAAAAUAUAAAGAAAGAUAAACUUUCCCUUUAAGAUACUUUAGUAUAAACAAAGUAAGUAGUAGUUAAGGUAAUAGCUUAACUAGCUGUGACUUGUAGUCAUAACUGAGAGGUUUAUUGACCACAUUGGGUCUGAAAAAACCCCAAUACGUAUAGUACAGCAGUGAGGAAUCUUGGUCAAUAGCCUAACGGCUGAACCAGCAAUUUGGGGGAAUGAAGCUAUAUAUUAACAGACACAUAUAUACGCAUCGACUAUGUCGUAUA